Transfer RNA from Camelus ferus (Wild Bactrian camel), 72 nucleotides. It matches the Rfam family "tRNA". From Rfam's summary of the family: Transfer RNA (tRNA) molecules are approximately 80 nucleotides in length. The record is from Rfam. Lineage: Eukaryota; Metazoa; Chordata; Mammalia; Artiodactyla; Camelidae.
AGAGAAAUAUCUCAGUGGUAGAGCAUACACUUAGCAUGCAUGAGGUCCUGGGUUCAAUUCCCAGUACCUCUA